AGUGAACGCUGGCGGUAGGCCUAACACAUGCAAGUCGAACGGCAGCACAGUAAGAGCUUGCUCUUACGGGUGGCGAGUGGCGGACGGGUGAGGAAUACAUCGGAAUCUACUUUUUCGUGGGGGAUAACGUAGGGAAACUUACGCUAAUACCGCAUACGACCUACGGGUGAAAGCAGGGGAUCUUCGGACCUUGCGCGAUUGAAUGAGCCGAUGUCGGAUUAGCUAGUUGGCGGGGUAAAGGCCCACCAAGGCGACGAUCCGUAGCUGGUCUGAGAGGAUGAUAAGCCACACUGGAACUGAGACACGGUCCCGACUCCUACGGGAGGCAGCAGUGGGGAAUAUUGGACAAGGGGCGCAAGCCUGAUCCAGCCAUACCGCGUGGGUGAAGAAGGCCUUCGGGUUGUAAAGCCCUUUUGUUGGAAAGAAAAGCAGCAGGUUAAUACCCCGCUGUUCUGACGGUACCCAAAGAAUAAGCACCGGCUAACUUCGUG
Molecule: ribosomal RNA, 491 nt
Filed under: uncultured bacterium
Lineage: Bacteria
Description: partial 16S ribosomal RNA
Rfam family: Bacterial small subunit ribosomal RNA
Source: RNAcentral